RNAcentral lists this long non-coding RNA (587 nucleotides) under Struthio camelus australis. RNAcentral's name for it is "lncRNA (ENSSCUG00000016685.1)". The record is from RNAcentral. Lineage: Eukaryota; Metazoa; Chordata; Aves; Struthioniformes; Struthionidae.
UUAUUAUUAUUAUUAAUUUGUUUUUUUUUUUUUAAAUCACUGUUACAAAAGGUUGUUUCAGCAGGCGGUUGCUUCCCUCCUGAGCAGGGCUGUUUUCCAUCUCUAUGAGGGCAAGGAAGGCAGCAGGCUUUGCUGUGGAAGUACUCCUAGAAAAUGAAGCUUAAAAGGCAUACUGACAAUGGUGCCUGAGUGAGCUGGCCUAUUUGAUGGAGUAGACAUACCAACAGUCUUGUGUCCCAGCCAGACAUGGACCCCAAAGCUCAGAGCUGUGAAGGCACUGGAGGCUGGAAUCUGGUUGUGCUGUCUCUUGUUCCCAGUUUCCCAAAUGACAUAGGCCCCUUCCAGUUCUUCACAGGCGCAUGGGAAGCUCACGCUGAUUCCAGCAGCUGUCUGUGCUGUUACACCAUGCGCUGUCUUGCAUCUUGUCCCAUCACCUGAGGGCUCCUGAAGCCUCUCUCCCUGCCCUGGAAUGGCAGGGAAGCAGACUGUAUGGCGUCAUGCCCCUGUUAACCUCUGAUCAGGCGAUGGGGAUGACGAAACUUCUGUUACGAUGAGCUGGUGUUUUUUGUCUUCCAGUGAAAUGUUUC